RNAcentral lists this microRNA (23 nucleotides) under Bombyx mori (domestic silkworm). Its description in RNAcentral is "bmo-miR-3248". The record is from miRBase by way of RNAcentral. Lineage: Eukaryota; Metazoa; Arthropoda; Insecta; Lepidoptera; Bombycidae.
UGUAAAUCAAAUGUGUACACCUG